Molecule: ribosomal RNA, 253 nt
Filed under: uncultured bacterium
Lineage: Bacteria
Description: partial 16S ribosomal RNA
Rfam family: Bacterial small subunit ribosomal RNA
Source: RNAcentral
UACGGAGGGAGCUAGCGUUGUUCGGAAUUACUGGGCGUAAAGCGCGCGUAGGCGGCUUUGUAAGUUAGAGGUGAAAGCCUGGAGCUCAACUCCAGAAUUGCCUUUAAGACUGCAUCGCUAGAAUCCAGGAGAGGUGAGUGGAAUUCCGAGUGUAGAGGUGAAAUUCGUAGAUAUUCGGAAGAACACCAGUGGCGAAGGCGGCUCACUGGACUGGUAUUGACGCUGAGGUGCGAAAGCGUGGGGAGCAAACAGG